GACGUAGGAUGCGAGCGUUGUCCGGAUUUAUUGGGCGUAAAGAGUUCGUAGGUGGUUUGUUAAGUCUGGUGUUAAAGAUCGGGGCUCAACCCCGGGAGUGCAUUGGAUACUGGCAGACUUGAGUGCAGUAGAGGCGAGUGGAAUUCCUAGUGUAGCGGUGAAAUGCGUAGAUAUUAGGAAGAACACCAGUGGCGUAAGCGACUCGCUGGGCUGUAACUGACACUGAGGAACGAAAGCCAGGGUAGCGAAUGGG
Molecule: ribosomal RNA, 253 nt
Filed under: uncultured bacterium
Lineage: Bacteria
Description: partial 16S ribosomal RNA
Rfam family: Bacterial small subunit ribosomal RNA
Source: RNAcentral